RNAcentral lists this ribosomal RNA (202 nucleotides) under uncultured Flavobacterium sp. Its description in RNAcentral is "partial 16S ribosomal RNA". It matches the Rfam family "Bacterial small subunit ribosomal RNA", at positions 376 to 576 of the family's 1533-position model. The record is from RNAcentral. Lineage: Bacteria; Pseudomonadati; Bacteroidota; Flavobacteriia; Flavobacteriales; Flavobacteriaceae.
CGCAGCCUGAACCAGCCAUGCCGCGUGCAGGAUGACGGUCCUAUGGAUUGUAAACUGCUUUUGUACGGGAAGAAACCCUCCUACGUGUAGGAGCUUGACGGUACCGUAAGAAUAAGGAUCGGCUAACUCCGUGCCAGCAGCCGCGGUAAUACGGAGGAUCCAAGCGUUAUCCGGAAUCAUUGGGUUUAAAGGGUCUGUAGGC